UUUAGAUCCCAAUUUACAACUCGAAGCACCAUUGCAAGUGGAAUAUAUAGUGCAAAUGUGAAAUUAUUGCUUCUUUUUCUGCAAGUCCGAAUAUAUGCUUAAACUAUUAUGAUAAGCCCUCAUUCAAGCAUACUUAUUCUUAGGGGUGGGCAUUUUAACCGGAACCAAAUCUCUCGAACCGAAAUUGAACCAAAAUCGAAGGUUCCAGUUCGGUUCCCCAAAAAAAUAUAUAAGAACCGAAACCGAGAACUGAGAACUGAGUAGGUCUAGGUCGGUUUUUGGUUUUUGAAUUAGAACAAUGGGUAACCGGAUGGAACCUAUUUUUUUUAUAAUUUUUUUAUUUUUAAUAAU
This 351-nucleotide long non-coding RNA is filed under the name Olea europaea subsp. europaea. The record is from RNAcentral. Lineage: Eukaryota; Viridiplantae; Streptophyta; Magnoliopsida; Lamiales; Oleaceae.